This 76-nucleotide transfer RNA is filed under the name Caudoviricetes sp. RNAcentral describes it as "tRNA-Thr". It matches the Rfam family "tRNA". From Rfam's summary of the family: Transfer RNA (tRNA) molecules are approximately 80 nucleotides in length. Their secondary structure includes four short double-helical elements and three loops (D, anti-codon, and T loops). The record is from RNAcentral. Lineage: Duplodnaviria; Heunggongvirae; Uroviricota; Caudoviricetes.
GCUGGUGUAGCUCAGCAGGUAGAGCGCUUCACUUGUAAUGAAGAUGUCGCGGGUUCGAUUCCUGUCGCCAGCUCCA